AGCGGGGUAGGAAAGUUAGGAGUAUCCGCCGGGCUCAUAACCCGGAGAUCGAUGGUUCAAAUCCAUCCUCCGCUA
RNAcentral lists this transfer RNA (75 nucleotides) under archaeon. RNAcentral describes it as "tRNA-Met". It matches the Rfam family "tRNA". From Rfam's summary of the family: Transfer RNA (tRNA) molecules are approximately 80 nucleotides in length. Their secondary structure includes four short double-helical elements and three loops (D, anti-codon, and T loops). The record is from RNAcentral.